Molecule: long non-coding RNA, 631 nt
Filed under: Nicotiana benthamiana
Lineage: Eukaryota; Viridiplantae; Streptophyta; Magnoliopsida; Solanales; Solanaceae
Description: long non-coding RNA (NBEN_LNC027361)
Source: RNAcentral
CUCCACCAUUUGAACUUCCUUUGCCAACUCCAGGAUAAUCAACUUCAGUCAUAAACCUAGACCAAAACCAAUGUUCUUUCCACACAAUAACCAUCUCUUCAAUAGGUACAUUCUUCGUCUCGGGUAAGAAAAAAUAGAUAAAAAGGGUCAUCACAAACACGAAGAAUGCAAAGAAGAUGAACAACCCGAACUUCAAAUGACACAACAAUGUCAAGAACACUUGCGCGACGAUAAAUGUGAAGAUCAUGUUGACUGAAACAUUAAUACUUUGAGCUGCAGAACGAAUUUCGAGUGGGAAAAUUUCACUUGGAACUAACCAACCAAGAGGUCCCCAUGACCAAGCAAAUCCUGCUACAUAAGCACAAAUGAAUAUUACCACAACUAUAGCAUACCAGUAAGUUGCUGAACAAGACAGGAGCAUAAAACAUGAUCACAUUAAUUCCAGUAAGUUGCUGGAAAAAUGGGAUAACAAUAGCCAUAGUUAAAUGUGGCCUAUAUUUCUUUUGUAAGAAAAAAUACAUAAAAAUGGUCAUCACGAACACGAAGAAUGCAAAGAAGAUGAACAACCCGAACUUCAAGUGACACAACAGUGUCAGAAACACUUGCGCGACGAUAAAUGUGAAGAUCAUGU